UACGUAGGGUGCGAGCGUUAAUCGGAAUUACUGGGCGUAAAGCGUGCGCAGGCGGUUUGUAAGCCAGAUGUGAAAUCCCCGGGCUUAACCUGGGAAUGGCAUUUGGGACUGCAAGGCUUGAGUUUGGCAGAGGAGACUGGAAUUCCGUGGUGUAGCAGUGAAAUGCGUAGAAUAUCAGGAGGAAUACCGAUGGACGAAGGCAGGUCGUCUGGGAGCAUAGAACUGGACG
RNAcentral lists this ribosomal RNA (229 nucleotides) under uncultured bacterium. RNAcentral's name for it is "partial 16S ribosomal RNA". It matches the Rfam family "Bacterial small subunit ribosomal RNA", at positions 524 to 745 of the family's 1533-position model. The record is from RNAcentral.